Long non-coding RNA from Harpegnathos saltator (Jerdon's jumping ant), 2148 nucleotides. RefSeq lists it as uncharacterized. The transcript is spliced from 6 exons. The record is from RefSeq and is a predicted model, not a curated record. NCBI's taxonomy places the organism in Eukaryota, Metazoa, Arthropoda, Insecta, Hymenoptera, Formicidae.
UGUGCGUGUGUGUGUGAGGCAUUUUCAUUUAUUAAACAUAUGAAUUUUUAGCUCAUGUAUCAGUGGUUAUUUUAAUUGUGUAAUAACCACUGAUACAAAUUCAUAUGUUUAAUAAAUGAAAAUGACUUAACAUAUGUACACACACAUACAUGGAGAGGUGCAAGGGGGGCCUUCGGCCCUCCUCCCGUACCCUCCCCGUCCUCGUUGCGCGUGGGAAGUUGUAAACCAGUGAUGUCAGAUGCAAUAUAUUGCGACGCUACAACGCAUGCGUGAGAUGACGUAGGAGCUCUAUGCUAAUAACGGCAAUAAAGCUUAUCGCAGGGUCCAUGAAGGGGCCCGCGCUAUCCGAUCAGGGUACCUAUUAUGGAACUCGUCGGAAUCGAUUCCGAUCGGAAUAAUUUCCCCUAGAAAAGACAAUAGAAAUCUAGGAAAUAACGGAAUAAAUUUGAUCGAAAUCGAUUCCGACGAGUUCCAUAAUAGGUACCCAGCUGUCUUCCAGGUUGCAACGUAGUUUUCUCGUGUUUCUUGCGCGAGUGCCUUAUCUUAGGUUAUAUUGUUCGGUCGAUACUAAAUAUCAGUUACAUUAACGUUAUAAUUCCAAUGGAUACUAAGUAACAAUGGACAUGUAUAGAUUGGCAAAAGCGUUCAAAAACCAUUGCGUUAUCAAACGUCAUCUGAUGAGGAACCAAAGCACAAGAGGAAUACUACAUUGAUCGCACCUUCUACCACCUGGGAUAAUCAACACGGACAUCAAUGACAUCGAGAGGAUGCUGCAACAAAAUGAGAAGACAACAUAUUUUAAUAUCCAUCCAGAAUUAACACAAACAUCACAUAAAGAAAUAUGCACACAUGGAAACACAUACAAACAUUUCUCUUGACAAGGGAUAUACUUCACAUAUACAGACACACACAAAUAUAGGAUAUACUGCACACAAACACAUAACACACACACAUCUAUGUGAAGCUAGCCCCUUAUUAUCAAAAUUUGAAAAAAAUGAUUAGAGUUCUAGUUGCCCCCCAAAGAGUUCUAGAGUUCUCAAUCACACAAAUAUUGAAUUCUCUCUAAAUAUACAGACCAAUAAUAAUUAAUAAUAUAAGUUUUACAUUGCGCACAGAUUAUGAUAAAACAUAUUAUACUAAUGACGCUUUAUCUCAGUUCCAAGACUUGACACCAAUUAUGACGAUGCAAGAUGCACACCAUCAACAUCAAUAUCAACAUGAUUAUGCCAUCUAUGAGACUAUGCCAUCACAAGAGACCUCAGUAUAGGAAGAUAUUACAUAUAAAAGCCCAGCAAACUAUACAGAACUCAUGGAACAAUGAGUCAGAAGAGGACGACAUUGAGGAUACGAACGACGAGUAAGAAUAGUAUUGCGAUGGAUAUGUAAUGGACCAAGGAACAAGAUUCAAUGUAUCACUUUGACUUAAGUCACCCAGAGAAUGGAGAAGCAGAAGAAAAAGAAACAAGAUGAGGAAGAGGAAAAGACAGGAAAGAAAGGAGGAAUAUGUGGAGGAGAGAGAAUAUGGAGAAAGAGUGAUUGUAAAAUAAGGAGGAAAAAUCUGUGUAGUUUCUGUCUGUCGACAGACGAAUUUUCAGACUUUUCAGUGCCACAUUUUCUUAAUGUGUCAAACGUUGAUCAACUUAUCGUAUUAGCAAUGUGCAAUCGGUGCUUCUUAGCCACAUCAACUGCAAUGAACACUUACACUCGAGAUUAAUUUCCAAAUUUUCUUGAAUGUUGCAGAAACGUUUUCGAGUUCUGUAUGGAGCAGAUUUUCUCUUCAAUAACUCUCAUCGAGGAAGACAAUGAAGAAUCCACCAGAUGAAAAUUAUACUUCAUUCUUGUUAUAUAUCUAUGAAAGAAGGAGGGCGUACUAGGUGGCAACGGGACGCCGUGCGUUCGGGACCUGCAUCUUAUUUUCGUUCCGAAGAGAGAAAAAUAUCGAGAGCAUGGUAGGCGUACGUCUUGUCCGGCCUCUCCAGACGCUGUUAUGUAUACAACUCACAACCACCGCUCCGCCACAUUUGGAGCCUCCUCAAUUGAAACCAACCCUAGCGCGUAUCCGCGUAAAUACAUAACAAUUUCAAGGGGCAUUUCUGUAUGCCGAUGUUCCGUAGACGAUAACGGCCAGGUAUACUUUUCGUCAAAGCA